CGUUCUGUAAGCCUGCGAAGGUGUGCUGUGAGGCAUGCUGGAGGUAUCAGAAGUGCGAAUGCUGACAUAAGUAACGAUAAAGCGGGUGAAAAGCCCGCUCGCCGGAAGACCAAGGGUUCCUGUCCAACGUUAAUCGGGGCAGGGUGAGUCGACCCCUAAGGCGAGGCCGAAAGGCGUAGUCGAUGGGAAACAGGUUAAUAUUCCUGUACUUGGUGUUACUGCGAAGGGGGGACGGAGAAGGCUAUGUUGGCCGGGCGACGGUUGUCCCGGUUUAAGCGUGUAGGCUGGUUUUCCAGGCAAAUCCGGAAAAUCAAGGCUGAGGCGUGAUGACGAGGCACUACGGUGCUGAAGCAACAAAUGCCCUGCUUCCAGGAAAAGCCUCUAAGCAUCAGGUAACAUCAAAUCGUACCCCAAACCGACACAGGUGGUCAGGUAGAGAAUACCAAGGCGCUUGAGAGAACUCGGGUGAAGGAACUAGGCAAAAUGGUGCCGUAACUUCGGGAGAAGGCACGCUGAUAUGUAGGUGAAGUCCCUCGCGGAUGGAGCUGAAAUCAGUCGAAGAUACCAGCUGGCUGCAACUGUUUAUUAAAAACACAGCACUGUGCAAACACGAAAGUGGACGUAUACGGUGUGACGCCUGCCCGGUGCCGGAAGGUUAAUUGAUGGGGUUAGCGCAAGCGAAGCUCUUGAUCGAAGCCCCGGUAAACGGCGGCCGUAACUAUAACGGUCCUAAGGUAGCGAAAUUCCUUGUCGGGUAAGUUCCGACCUGCACGAAUGGCGUAAUGAUGGCCAGGCUGUCUCCACCCGAGACUCAGUGAAAUUGAACUCGCUGUGAAGAUGCAGUGUACCCGCGGCAAGACGGAAAGACCCCGUGAACCUUUACUAUAGCUUGACACUGAACAUUGAGCCUUGAUGUGUAGGAUAGGUGGGAGGCUUUGAAGUGUGGACGCCAGUCUGCAUGGAGCCGACCUUGAAAUACCACCCUUUAAUGUUUGAUGUUCUAACGUGGACCCGUAAUCCGGGUUGCGGACAGUGUCUGGUGGGUAGUUUGACUGGGGCGGUCUCCUCCUAAAGAGUAACGGAGGAGCACGAAGGUUGGCUAAUCCUGGUCGGACAUCAGGAGGUUAGUGCAAUGGCAUAAGCCAGCUUGACUGCGAGCGUGACGGCGCGAGCAGGUGCGAAAGCAGGUCAUAGUGAUCCGGUGGUUCUGAAUGGAAGGGCCAUCGCUCAACGGAUAAAAGGUACUCCGGGGAUAACAGGCUGAUACCGCCCAAGAGUUCAUAUCGACGGCGGUGUUUGGCACCUCGAUGUCGGCUCAUCACAUCCUGGGGCUGAAGUAGGUCCCAAGGGUAUGGCUGUUCGCCAUUUAAAGUGGUACGCGAGCUGGGUUUAGAACGUCGUGAGACAGUUCGGUCCCUAUCUGCCGUGGGCGCUGGAGAAUUGAGGGGGGCUGCUCCUAGUACGAGAGGACCGGAGUGGACGCAUCACUGGUGUUCGGGUUGUCAUGCCAAUGGCACUGCCCGGUAGCUAAAUGCGGAAGAGAUAAGUGCUGAAAGCAUCUAAGCACGAAACUUGCCCCGAGAUGAGUUCUCCCUGACUCCUUGAGAGUCCUGAAGGAACGUUGAAGACGACGACGUUGAUAGGCCGGGUGUGUAAGCGCAGCGAUGCGUUGAGCUAACCGGUACUAAUGAACCGUGAG
This 1699-nucleotide ribosomal RNA is filed under the name Escherichia coli. RNAcentral's name for it is "partial 23S ribosomal RNA". It matches the Rfam family "Bacterial large subunit ribosomal RNA", at positions 1237 to 2915 of the family's 2925-position model. The record is from RNAcentral. Lineage: Bacteria; Pseudomonadati; Pseudomonadota; Gammaproteobacteria; Enterobacterales; Enterobacteriaceae.